Molecule: long non-coding RNA, 346 nt
Organism: Pan troglodytes (chimpanzee)
Lineage: Eukaryota; Metazoa; Chordata; Mammalia; Primates; Hominidae
Exons: 2
Source: RefSeq, a predicted model, not a curated record
ACCUGGCAGCCACUCCCAGAGCCCCUGGAACUCUGGCCCAAGGCUCUCUGACUGACUCCUUCCCAGAUCUUCUCGGCUUAGCGGCUGAAGACUGACACUGCUCAAUCGCCUCGGAAGCCCCCUAGACCAUCACGGACCCCGAGCUUCGGACUCAGCCCACCUGCACCCAGGUGAAAUAAACAGCUUUAUUGCUCACACAAAGCCUGUUUGGUGGUCUCUUCACACGGACGCGCAUGAAAGCUACCAGAGCACCAAGUGACUUCAUGUAUCUGAGAUAAAUUAUAAUAAAGCAAUAAUAAUAAAAAUAAUGAUAUAGAAACUCAUAUAAUAAAAUUCUCCAAAUUAA